This 2000-nucleotide long non-coding RNA is filed under the name Triticum aestivum (bread wheat). Its description in RNAcentral is "long non-coding RNA (TAES_LNC005248)". The record is from RNAcentral. Lineage: Eukaryota; Viridiplantae; Streptophyta; Magnoliopsida; Poales; Poaceae.
UUCUCAUUCCAAAUCAGCAUUAUUUUGAGUUAUUACAAGGUUAGGAAUCAGAUUAUGUACUGAUAAUCAUUUUAUUUCAAGCUAAAUUGUAAUUGUUAGAUGGUCAUGUCUAUUAAUUUCCUAUAGACAACCCUUCUUGAGUUUCCUAUGGAUUUAUUACGGUUUCAAAAUGGUCAAGCAUUCAAGCUAGCAGCAGCAAAAAUUUGUCCCAACUAUUAAGCUACAAGAUUUAGCAAUGCAUGCUAUAUGUAGCAAUUUGGCCCCAAAAACCUGAACACCAUACCACAGAAAUUAGAAGACUUAGCAAAGCAUGCAUUCAUGUGACCAAGCAUCAUAUUGCAGUUACAAUACACAUAGAUUGAGUAAUAUAUCCUUGCUUUUUCAGGAGUCAGUCAAAAUAUGCAAGUAUGUGCACCCAGUUUGUUCAAGCCCCUUGCUCAGAAGUUGGUCUGGAGAUGCAAGAAUACAGGUAAACUGCAUAUAUAACUGCAUUUUUACGCAGAACUGAAAUCUCACAGAAACUACACUAAACUGGAUUGAGAUUAUUGAAAAAUGUUAAUUAAAUGUUAAAUGGAUAACUUUGUGAUAAUCUACACCAUAUCUUUAUGGACUAGGACCAAUCAAAACAACAUGCAGGAAUUGUUCAUCCUCAUGGAACCAAAAAACCAUCCAUCCACUUUCACUGCAAGUCAACACUGUACUGAGCUUUCCCUGUCCAUACACUUCCGAAACAGAAUGCCAGAUUGUUAAAUACUGACCAAGAUAACGAUAUUUAGAAACAAAUCACCUCACCCUCACCUCUUUCUGAUUAGUUUUUUGCUGCUGAACUAUUGCUGUCGGCUGUCGGAGUGCCUUUGCUGCUUGGGGUUCUUGCUUAACUUCCGCCUGCUGUGGAUGCCGCUUUGUGCUCGAGUUCUUGCUUAACUUCCGCCUGCUGUGGAUGCCGCUUUGUGUUUGGGUCUUUCCUUCUUGCUGCUGGUGUCGCUGUCUUUUUGUUGGCCAGGGGCAUGAUAUCUGGGGCAGCAGCCAAUCCUCCACGGGUGAAGUGAAGGUUUAUGUUUGUCACAAUUUCCAAUAUUAGCAUAGUAUGUAUUUGCAUGUUGCAAAGAUCUCAGUAUGAGGAGAUUUAGAUUCAUUCAACUCAACCAUUGACAGGCAGGGAGACAACAAAGGGGGCAGUAUAAUUGCAUCCCAUUAUUAUUUUUCUCUUUAUUAGAUGGCAUAUUGUUAUUUGUUCUAUAUAUACUUAACGUCCCCGUAUGGCUGCUUUUGAGAAAAAACCCGUAUUACCAUGUAUCCGUGUUUCUUAGUUCUUAUUCAUCCUAAGUUUUAGCAGAUUAAUUAAUCAUUUGCUUUUCUCAAUUUUAUUGUUUUGGAAAUUUUGUUCCUCUACCAUUUAUCAAGUACGGUUUGCGAGAGGUGGUUGCUAUUCAUACGUUCUAGUAUAUGUAAUACAAAAGGUACUUCUCAUUCAGUAUUUAAACGAUCUGGUGUCGUUCUAUUGCAUGGCAUUUGAAUUGCCCAAUGCUUGGUUGUGAGAGAUGAUAUCCAUCUCAGAAAGGAGAAAGGGUCACUGCUGGUCAAAUGCUUUGUGCCUAGGACUGAUAUGAACUUCUCUUCCACAACUAGACAAUUAUCCGAUCUAUUUCAAUUGUCUGGAUGUUAACUCGAGGUAAGAGCAAGUGCUACGACAAUUCCCAGUACACAUUUAUAAGCAGUAUUUCGGUUAAAAAAGAGUGAGAUGGAUAGCUCAUGGUAGCAUUCAAGGCAUAUUUUUCAGACUUGACACAGUAGCAGUUUAAUAUUUUUCAGACUUGGACACCGUAGCAGUUUAAGCGGCGCAGCAAGGCGCGCGUAUGCUUCUAGUGUCCAUCGAAGCUAUCUGAUAAAUGGAGACCGUAGCCAAAAUUGAGGUUAGGGACCUCAAUUGCUGUGACAUGAAGAAACUUGGAGCUGGAAAAUGUAUUUGUGAAGAAUCAACUUGAGAUGGCAAACACUAC